Nilaparvata lugens (brown planthopper) is the source of this 2958-nucleotide RNA transcript. It is a transcript of the gene named extended synaptotagmin-2-A, with no coding region annotated. The transcript is spliced from 10 exons. Lineage: Eukaryota; Metazoa; Arthropoda; Insecta; Hemiptera; Delphacidae. The record is from RefSeq and is a predicted model, not a curated record.
GCAUGUGUUUGCCCGUUGCCGAACGCAAUUGCAAUUUAAAAAUAUCUGAAACUUUUCUCAAUAGAGCAGAAGAGUGUCUUUGAAGGUUUAAUUUUCGAGUGUUGGUGAAUAUCUAAGCAGUAUAGUCGACAAUUACUUAUUUAUUUUAAAGUUACUGUAGCCUACUGAAAUCAACUUCUGUAGGACACAUUUGCAAAUUUCGGGUGUGCCAGAAACAGUUUCAACAUUUAGACUACUUCAUCAAUAUCUUACUGCAUUAUGGAGUUGGAAAAGAAAAAUCCAAUUACAAUUCCUCCUACAAGACAAGUUGGUUCAUCUUCGGGCAUCUUCAAAAUAGUUUAUGAUGCUGCUAAAAGUGUUUGCACUGUUGCAAUUAUAUAUUUUUUCGGCUACAUGAAUUUCAGCCCAGCUUGGUUUCUUGCUCCGCUUAUUUAUUCUGUUAUCAAAAAUGAAACGAAAAAGACCAACGAAUUCAAGAGAAAUGUUGCCAAAACCUCAGCAUUGCAAAAUGAAAAGGAUGUAAUUCUAGCAAGAAUUGAUGAAUUACCUGCCUGGGUCUACUUCCCUGAUGUUGAAAGGGCUGAAUGGUUAAACAAGAUUCUUCGACAAGUUUGGCCAAACGUCAACCAUUAUGCAAAAGAUGUAAUCAAAGAUAUAAUUGAGCCUAACAUUUGUCUUGCACUUGCUGAGUACAAAAUAAGUGGCUUCGCAUUUCAAAAGAUGAGACUUGGUACAAUUCCGCCUCGUAUAGGAGGAAUCAAAGUAUACGACUACAAUGUGUCAAGGAAUGAAAUUAUCAUGGACUUGGAUAUUUUCUAUGCUGGAGACUGUGACAUUUCUUUCACAAUUAAAGGGUUCACAGGAGGCAUCCAAGAUUUUCAGAUCCAUGGGCUUGUCAGAAUUGUUAUGAAGCCUCUCAUUAAAUCAAUGCCACUAGUUGGCGGUCUUCAAAUUUAUUUUCUGAAUAAUCCUGCUAUUGACUUCAACCUUGUUGGAGUUGCUGAUGUUCUAGAUAUGCCUGGGCUGAGUGAUUUACUGCGCCGUGUGAUUGUUGAGCAAGUGGCAGCCAUGAUGGUUCUUCCCAACAAGCUUCCUAUCCUUCUCAGUAAUGAAGUUCCCGCAAAGAAUCUCAAAUUUCCAGAACCACAGGGAGUUUUACGUGUUCACGUUGUUGAAGCCAAACAUCUAAUGAAGAAAGACAUUGGAGUUUUAGGUAAAGGUAAAUCCGACCCUUACGCUAUCAUUACUGUGGGCGCCCAACAAUUCAAAACAAAAACAAUCGACAAUACAAUUGACCCAAAAUGGGACUUCUGGUGCGAGAAUUUGCCUGCCUCAACCUUGGGUGAAUAUGUUUCUUCUAUCUAAAUCUUCAUCAUUCAAGGCUUUAAAAGUGUCGAAAAUAGGUGCAUCUAAGGAUAUCCAUUGGAAACAGGAGACGUUGUUAUAGUUUUCUGUAAUCCAAGAAGUUGCUCGCAUUUCUAUUCUAUUCUAUUUGAUGUAAAACUCAUUUCCGAAAAAUGGAGCAAGAAUAUACAAAAAUAAAAACAAUAUAAUGUUUAUUUAAUAUUAAAUGGCGUAACAUUAAUAAAAAAUUGAAUAUCUGAGAUUUUGAAUUGCUUCUAUUUGAUUAGUAAAUUUAUGUUUCUCAAAUUGUUGUACACAAACUUAUUCCUCCCAAUCAAUUUUACCCAUUGGUUCGUAUGGGGAGUGUUUACACUUUUUGAAGCUAUACCUCAAUUAAAAAUAUCUACAAUUUUGGCUCUUCCAAUUUGAGUUCCAUCAAAUCUGUUUAAAUUGAUAGCGUUCUCCAUUCCUUGGUUAUAAUAUAGAAAAUUUUAGUCUACAUUAACAUAUCAAAGGAAAAUACAGUACUACGUAACAUUUUUCACGAUUCCGAUCAAUAAAGUUAUUCUAUAAUAUAUCCAUUCUCCCAUCCUUAUCAUUGGAAGACGUUUGCAAAGCUAAUGCCAGUGACUGAUGGUCUGUACCAAAAUAAAUAUUAGAGACCCUGAAACCAAAAACCGCCCUUUAUGAAGAUUUUUUUCCAAAUACAAAUUCAAUUUUAAGGAGCAGUUUGACUCAGUGGUCGCGCUGAUAAGCAAUAGCUUAUAUAUAAGUUAAGAAUCAUGCGCCAGGUACUCGCGCUGGAAGAGUGACCGCUUGAGCCAACUCCUCUGAAUAUGAUUCAUGAGUUGUAAAAUCGCUUGCCGGUGGUUCGGAACCCACAUAAAACUGUAGGUCCAUUCAUCUCUUAUUAUCAUCCGCCUCAUUACCUAUGCACAAGCCUAGAGCUCAUGUGGGCAUCACAAAAAAAUGAUUAGUAUGAAAUUGGUUUAUCAGAGAUUGACAAUGGUGUAACUACCGAAACCGAACUUUCUAACGGUCUUUCAAUAAAAUCUGUGGUUUUUGACAAUUUCUUAGUAUUUUUAUUUAAUAUGAAUAAUUAUACCACAAUAUCAACUUCUCAACUACACAAAAAGUGAAAAUAUACAUAUAUUAUUUGCCAUAAAAAUACAAGUAGUAGAAAAGAUGCAGUGAAGUAUAAAUAAAAGCAUGAACAUAUUAUCGCUCAUAAUAAUCUCAAUAUAACGUUAAAUAAUAUGGAAUUAUAAUGUGCAAAACUUUUCAAUAUGUCACAUGGGGAUGUUUCACAGAGACAAGUAGUGUUUUUGAACGAUAUUAGUGUCACAGAGACAAGUUUCAUAGGAGCAGGUACUUCUAUAAAAUGGCAGUCUCACAGGAACAAGUUCCCACAGAGACAAGCAGUUUUAUAGAGACAAGUCUCCGUCCAAACUAGUAGCGCUAUAAAUGGCAGUCUCACAGAAGCAAGUUCUCACACAGACAAGGUGUCUCACAGAAGCAAGUACAGUGUCGUAGAGACAAGGUGGCGAAUGUAGGAAGAAGUUAGGCGUGUUGCCUACAUCUGAACUUGAAGGCACUCCAUUAUUUUGUUCUAGU